UACGGAGGAUGCAAGCGUUAUCCGGAAUGAUUGGGCGUAAAGCGUCCGCAGGUGGCUGUGUAAGUCUGCUGUCAAAGAGCGAAGCUCAACUUCGUAAAGGCAGUGGAAACUACACGGCUAGAGUGCGUUCGGGGCAGAGGGAAUUCCUGGUGUAGCGGUGAAAUGCGUAGAGAUCAGGAAGAACACCCGUGGCGAAGGCGGCUCUCUGGAACGCAACUGACGCUGAGACGCGAAAGCGUGGGGAGCAAACAGG
Molecule: ribosomal RNA, 253 nt
Filed under: uncultured bacterium
Lineage: Bacteria
Description: partial 16S ribosomal RNA
Rfam family: Bacterial small subunit ribosomal RNA
Source: RNAcentral